RNAcentral lists this ribosomal RNA (305 nucleotides) under uncultured bacterium. RNAcentral describes it as "bacterial SSU rRNA". It matches the Rfam family "Bacterial small subunit ribosomal RNA", at positions 335 to 638 of the family's 1533-position model. The record is from RNAcentral.
UGCCUACGGGACGCAGCAGUGAGGAAUAUUGGUCAAUGGGCGGGAGCCUGAACCAGCCAAGUCGCGUGAGGGAAGACGGUCCUAUGGAUUGUAAACCUCUUUUGUCGGGGAGUAAAGAGACCACGUGUGGUCAAAAGCGAGAGCACCCGAAGAAAAAGCAUCGGCUAACUCCGUGCCAGCAGCCGCGGUAAUACGGAGGAUGCGAGCGUUAUCCGGAUUUAUUGGGUUUAAAGGGUGCGUAGGCGGGACGGUAAGUCAGCGGUAAAAAUGCGGAGCUCAACUCCGUCGAGCCGGUGCAACUGUCG